CACGUAGGUGGCAUGGUAAGUCAAAGGUGAAAGCCCUCGGCUCAACCGAGGAAUUGCCUUUGAAACUGCUUUGCUUGAGUCCGGGAGGGGGGAGCGGAAUUCCCAGUGUAGCGGUGGAAUGCGUAGAUACUGGGAGGAACACCGGUGGCGAAGGCGGCUCCCUGGACCGGUACUGACACUGAGGUGCGAAAGCGUGGGUAGCAAACA
RNAcentral lists this ribosomal RNA (207 nucleotides) under uncultured bacterium. RNAcentral's name for it is "partial 16S ribosomal RNA". It matches the Rfam family "Bacterial small subunit ribosomal RNA", at positions 568 to 774 of the family's 1533-position model. The record is from RNAcentral.